RNAcentral lists this long non-coding RNA (3929 nucleotides) under Glycine max (soybean). RNAcentral describes it as "long non-coding RNA (GMAX_LNC000220)". Lineage: Eukaryota; Viridiplantae; Streptophyta; Magnoliopsida; Fabales; Fabaceae. The record is from RNAcentral.
AAUGAAACUGGCAUCACCAAACAAUCCAUGGAUAUGCCUCUAGAACCACCCACGAGUUAAUGUAAGUAUAUAUAUAUAUAUAUAUAUAUAUAUAAUAAAGUUUUGGUGUAAUGUAAGGGACUUUAAUGUAACAUAACAACAACAGAAAAUCAAUUUUCUUUUUUGAAUUAUUUAGGUGACCAUAUGGAAAAAGAAAGGGUUACUUUGGAUGUAUUUUUCAGUCAUGACUUGCGUGUAGCCGUUGGAGAAAGGAUCCUGAUACGGUCCUAAACUACAAGAGGAAUGUAAAUCUAAGAGAUAAGUGUUCUUAUUAUCAUUUCACAACUUCUUAUUUACAUUUAUAGUCCUUGAAGCUAACUGAAUUCUAACAGAAUUUCCCUUUCUAACUAACAGCAUCCUAUAACGGAUUCUGGAAGGUUCCGCAAUCCUUCGAAGGUCAAGGACGAAAGCUACGGGGCCGCAAGGCGAGGCGUCUAAACGAAAUCCCGCAAGUAAGCUGGUUUCUUACACUCUCUCUUGGGCCUGCUUGUAUCUAUAUGUUGAUGUUGGUCUGUUGUUGCUGUGUUACUAUCAGAUCCCUUGGAUUUUGAUUUUGAUUUUGCAUUUAAAAAUCAAAAGUAAAAAAAAAUAAAAAUCCAACUAUUUGUCGUUUCUUGCUUCCGAAUAACCAUGUAGACAGUGGAGACUUAUAUUAAAAAAAAGUAUUUGUUUAAAAAAUAAUUUAAUCGUUUAAAAAUGUAAUAUAUUUAAUAGUUAACAAGACAAUAAAUUAUGAAAUUAUAUUUAAUAACACUCUUAUAUAUGCAAUUUGAAUUGCUUGAAAUAAAUGUAUAAAACUACCAGGCUGAAUCAUAUUCAUAAAGAACUCUUGUGGAUACAUCAUAGUUUUAUGACAACAAUAAUAAUAAUCCUUGACAUUAUGAACUCACUCGUUUGCGAUUAAAUCUAGUUCUCCGCAGACAGCAUAAAUGACGACUAUCAAGCACAUUUAUUGCAAUGAUUAAUUGACAAAUUCCGUAUUUAUGCAUGGUUGGCUAAUUAUUCAUCAUAAUGUUAUUAUUUGUUAUUUUUGGGUCAAAAGAACUAAAUAUUGUUUUAAUUUGGUAGUCGAUGGUAAUGUAUAUUGUUCCUAUCCCAUAGGAAAGACAUAAGAUUACUAUUAGCAUACUAGACUAGAUUUGAAGUUACACUUCUGGGAUUUGUUUGUAGAAAAACAACGCAUAGGCAUGUGCAUUGUAUGCACACCCCGUAGUUAUUAAUUAAUAGAUGAAAACGAAGAUUUCAAAGUGAUUUUAGUUAGAGUUGUUAAAAAAUUAGGUAAACGCGUUUUAAAGUAUAGAUUUCUAAUCCAUAUCCAUUCCAUAAUCAAUCAACGUGAUUUUGGGCACAUUAAGUGCUCUAGUUUUUCAUAUUUAUCCACCAAGCGCAGACCAAUGACUUAUCAAAGUAUGCCCUUUAGCAACAAGUUUGAUAAUGAAUCUUGUAUACGAAAGGGGAAAAAAAUGUUGAGAGCUAACUGCACCAUGCUAUGAAUAUUUACAACUCAAAUAAAAUUAUCUCUCUUAGAAGGUACAAUGAAAAACAAUUAAAAAUGUCAUUUGCAUACUUUUAUGUUUUAUGUAUAGCUGGAAUCAUUUAUUUUAAAAUAAUUGUUUUUAAAAAUAUAUUCCUAACAAACUUUUAAUUGAUGGUUACUUUACCUGAAGGCUUUCAAGAUAUCAAUAUUAAAUUAAUGGUUAGCAAUGUCUAUGGGCAUUUAUGUUACAUUACUCCAUCAAUACUUAAUAGCAAACGCAGUGUGAACCAGUGACAAUUUCUUAACAGUAUUAUUACAUCAUUUUAGGCCAUAUUAGCUUUCAAGUUUCAAUCAAUCUCAUUAAAAAAAAAAAAGGUUGACACUUGAUAUUAUUAAUCUUAAGAAAAUAAAGAGUAUAAUAUCUUAAAAUCAUUUAUAAUAAGUUAUAAAUGGAUAAAAACUAUAUCCCUUACAUAUGUUUAUAUAUUUAAAUUAUAUUUUCAUAUUCAAAUAAAUUUGUGAAAGGAUAUUACAUCUAUAUCUACUACUUAAUAUGAGUUAGGUAAUGUUGUUCACGCUAGUAAAACGUAGAAGCAACAUAUAUGCCGCAAAGAAUAUUUUGACUGACCGAAUUACAUGAUGCCACGAAGAGGUUGAGCUUCGAUUGAGGUUAGUUUUAUCUUUUAAGCAAAUUAAUGUCUUGCCGUAAGGCUCCUUGAUAAAAUUAAAAAUAAAAUAAAAAUUCCUUUUAUCUUCUUUUUUUAACAAAAUUUGGCUAUACUUAUACAAGGCACAUAUGAUUAGAUUUUAAAACAUUUAUAAUGAAACCAAGUAACUAACAAACAAGCAUGUCAAGGAAUAUGCUGCUCGGGUAAGGGGAACGCAUCAUAUAUCUUGUGAACGAAUGCGGAUCCAAAUGACCAAAUCCGUAACAAGCUCAAAUAACCAAAAGUUAUUAUCGCUAACACUGUUUCAAUUAUGAUUUGAAAAUCCUAAUCCACAGAAAAAUGAAGCUAAGUAGAUUUAGACCUUAAAUAAAUUCUCCUAAAAUCAGUCCCGACCAAAACCAAUGAUGCAUGUUAGAUUUUGGAAUUUGACUUUAGCCAGUAUCCACUACUUUGAAGAAUCAUCAUGCCAAUACCCUGCUUCUGCAGUGUUGAACCUAAUAUAUAUCUAUCUAUAAAUUAAAAUAAUCUACUUUUUCAAGUAAGAAGUUAAUUAUGCCAAAACAUUAAUACUUUAUAAUUAAAUUUUUAGACUUAAAUUUUAUAUUUUUAGUUAUUUUAUAUAAAUUCUAUAUGAUGUAUAUUUUAGUUGGACAAUAUGACAAAAUGUGGUAUGCUUUAUAGUUAUUUAUAAAUAACUAUCCUAAAAUUUAAAAACCAUAAUAUAAUGUAUAUAAUCUUAGUAAGAUUUUAAAACAGAUUUUACUUGGGACAAUAAUUUUAUUGCAGUUUUAUGGUUUUCCUGAUAAAAUUGUUCAUUUGAUUAUGAGUUGCAUCUCCUCUGCAACUUAUCUGCAACUUACUCUCUGAAAUAGAAUAAUGCUAUCAUAGCUUAGUUUUGUUUCACAAAUAGGGUUACGGCAAAAAAAAAUCCUAUGUCAAGUUAUAAAAUUAUAUUUUCAAAAAUUAUAUUUCUAGAAAUGUAAUGCAUAAAAAUAUUAUUCCCAUAAACAUGUUUGAUUGUCAUUAGGAAAUUUUGAAGAUGUGAAGAAAGCAAAUAACAAAAACAUGUGUAUUCCAUAUUUCUUGGAAUCAAAUAUUCCUGAGAAUAUUUAUCCAAAACUUGUAACAUGCGUGGGAAUGUGAUAUUCCCAAGUGAUCAUUUCCGGGAAUCUUCCUCGAUAACCUGAAACAAACGGCUUGUAACAAAUAUUUUAUAUCCCACAUCAAGGAAUAUGCUGCUGCUCGGUUAAGGGGAACGCAAUUCAUAUAUCUAAUAUAAACGCAUGCGGAUCCAAAUCGGUAACAAGCUCAAAUAAUCAAAAGCUAUAAUCGCUAACACUGUUUAAAUUAUAAAUUAUAAUUUGAAAAUCCUAAUCCACAGGAAAAUGAAGGUCAAUAGAUUUAGACCUUAAGAUAGAUUCUCCUAAAAUCGGAGUCCCAAAACCAAAUUAUGCAUGUUAUAUUUUGGAAUUUGACCACUGGCCACUACUUUGAAGAAUCAUCAUGCCAAUACCCUGCUUCUGCAGUGUUGGACUUAAAAACGCAUCAUCACUGCUGAGUAUGGCCAGCCCAUAGUUGAUGUUGGUACAUGGGCAUGGUAUGAAUGGGCUGACUAGCAUUAUUAUUGUAGAGUCCUGAGCCACCUGGCCCCUUACUAAAAUGACUAUUCUCAUUAUCCUCAGAUGAAUCAGUUGAAGGCCCUAGAGAGGUAGGCGUAGUUGGAGUCGGAGAAGCACCAAAGGCUA